AAUACAACAUAUGGCAAUGCCAUACAGAAACACAUCAUAUUAGGCUACACCCACUACGAAGCAUUUCACAUGUACUCGUCACCAUCAUCAUCAUCACCCUCAGCUGAUUCAGCACCAACCUCCUCAUAAUCCUUCUCAAGGGCGGCAAGAUCCUCACGAGCCUCAGAGAACUCGCCUUCCUCCAUGCCCUCACCAACAUACCAGUGCACGAAGGCACGCUUGGCAUACAUGAGGUCAAAUUUGGAGUCAAUGCGAGAGAACACCUCAGCAACACUGGUAGAAUUGGAGAUCAUGCAAACAGCCCUCUGCACCUUGGCAAGAUCACCACCAGGAACAACAGUGGGUGGCUGGUAAUUGAUACCACACUUGAAUCCAGUGGGGCACCAGUCAACAAACUGAAUAGUACGCUUGGUCUUGAUCGUGGCAACAGCAGCAUUAACAUCCUUGGGCACAACAUCACCACGGUACAUCAGACAACAGGCCAUGUACUUUCCAUGGCGAGGAUCACAUUUAGCCAUCAUUGAUGAAGGCUCAAAAGCACUGUUAGUGAUCUCAGCAACAGAGAGUUGUUCAUGGUAGGCUUUCUCAGCAGAGAUGACUGGUGCAUAGGAGGAAAGCAUGAAGUGGAUUCUUGGGUAAGGGACCAAGUUAGUCUGGAAUUCAGUAACAUCCACAUUCAAAGCACCAUCAAACCUCAGAGAGGCGGUCAAGGAGGAA
This 717-nucleotide long non-coding RNA is filed under the name Populus trichocarpa (black cottonwood). RNAcentral's name for it is "long non-coding RNA (PTRI_LNC002319)". The record is from RNAcentral. Lineage: Eukaryota; Viridiplantae; Streptophyta; Magnoliopsida; Malpighiales; Salicaceae.